GCUUGCACCUUUCAAGCGAGUGGCGAACGGGUGAGUAACACGUGGAUAACCUGCCUCAAGGCUGGGGAUAACAUUUGGAAACAGAUGCUAAUACCGAAUAAAACUUAGUAUCGCAUGAUACAAAGUUGAAAGGCGCUACGGCGUCACCUAGAGAUGGGUCCGCGGUGCAUUAGUUAGUUGGUGGGGUAAAGGCCUACCAAGACAAUGAUGCAUAGCCGAGUUGAGAGACUGAUCGGCCACAUUGGGACUGAGACACGGCCCAAACUCCUACGGGAGGCUGCAGUAGGGAAUCUUCCACAAUGGGCGAAAGCCUGAUGGAGCAACGCCGCGUGUGUGAUGAAGGCUUUAGGGUCGUAAAGCACUGUUGUAUGGGAAGAAAUGCUAGAAUAGGGAAUGAUUCUAGUUCGACGGUACCAUACCAGAAAGGGACGGCUAAAUACGUGCCAGCAGCCGCGGUAAUACGUAUGUCCCGAGCGUUAUCCGGAUUUAUUGGGCGUAAAGCGAGCGCAGACGGUUGAUUAAGUCUGAUGUGAAAGCCCGGAGCUCAACUCCGGAAUGGCAUUGGAAACUGGUUAACUUGAGUGUUGUAGAGGUAAGUGGAACUCCUUGGUGAGGAGCGGG
Molecule: ribosomal RNA, 621 nt
Filed under: Leuconostoc lactis
Lineage: Bacteria; Bacillati; Bacillota; Bacilli; Lactobacillales; Lactobacillaceae
Description: bacterial SSU rRNA
Rfam family: Bacterial small subunit ribosomal RNA
Source: RNAcentral